Molecule: long non-coding RNA, 383 nt
Organism: Raphanus sativus (radish)
Lineage: Eukaryota; Viridiplantae; Streptophyta; Magnoliopsida; Brassicales; Brassicaceae
Exons: 3
Source: RefSeq, a predicted model, not a curated record
GGCUUGUGAGGAGCCUUGUGAGUCAACUCAUAUCUCUCAUGAUUCUUCAGAAUGAAGUACACCUCAGGAGGUUUCAACCAACGGGUCUUAGCUUCUUGGGACAGAGUACUAAUCUCGUAUUCUAAAUUAAACGACAAAAAGCAAGAGGAGGUUUCCGACAACAGCCACGGCACGAAGAUGGAUGCUAUGCCAGUCGCAGCUGCAAGGAGUUAUAGAGAAAUUACGGAAUCGGCCCGGGUCUCGUUUCACACUUUGAUAAUGUAGAUUGUAGAGGUAUCAAUCGGGCUACCCGAUCCAAAACCCGCGAUAUCCAUUAAUAUUUAAGUCAUGGCUGAUUUGUUAGCAAAAACUGAAAUUAUAAGUUAACUGCGAUUCUAAUAAUA